Molecule: ribosomal RNA, 124 nt
Filed under: uncultured bacterium
Lineage: Bacteria
Description: partial 16S ribosomal RNA
Rfam family: Bacterial small subunit ribosomal RNA
Source: RNAcentral
GGGCCUUGUACACACCGCCCGUCACACCAUGAGAGCCGGGGGGACCCGAAGUCCGUAGCUUAACCGUAAGGAGGGCGCGGCCGAAGGUAAACUGGUGAUUGGGGUGAAGUCGUAACAAGGUAAC